AUACGGAGGGUGCAAGCGUUAUCCGGAUUUACUGGGUUUAAAGGGUACGCAGGCGGUAAUUUAAGUCAGUGGUGAAAGCCUACAGCUCAACUGUAGAACUGCCAUUGAAACUGAAUUACUUGAGUAUGGUAGAGGUAGGCGGAAUACAACAUGUAGCGGUGAUAUGCAUAGAUAUGUUGUAGAACACCGAUUGCGAAGGCAGCUUACUAAACCAUUACUGACGCUCAUGUACGAAAGCGUGGGGAGCGAACAGGAUUAGAAACCCUAGUAGUCC
RNAcentral lists this ribosomal RNA (274 nucleotides) under uncultured bacterium. RNAcentral's name for it is "partial 16S ribosomal RNA". It matches the Rfam family "Bacterial small subunit ribosomal RNA", at positions 523 to 796 of the family's 1533-position model. The record is from RNAcentral.